CCCUCAGGUUCUGUGUCAAAGUCCUCAUGUGGCCCUUGAGGUUUAAAAAGUUCUUGUAGCUGAUGUAUACUCUUCAAAAAGAUUAUUUAGCAAAUAAACUAUUGGUUGUUGUAUCCAUUCUUCAGUAAACAUUGAUCUUCCUGAAAUAAGUAUGGAAGUGGCUGAAAUGUUAUUGCUUUUUGUGAGCACUUCUAAGAGUUACAAAUAAAAUACAUUCAGUUUAA
Molecule: long non-coding RNA, 224 nt
Organism: Varanus komodoensis (Komodo dragon)
Lineage: Eukaryota; Metazoa; Chordata; Lepidosauria; Squamata; Varanidae
Exons: 2
Source: RefSeq, a predicted model, not a curated record